GACGAACGCUGGCGGCGUGCUUAACACAUGCAAGUCGAACGGAAAGGCCCUGCUUUUGUGGGGUGCUCGAGUGGCGAACGGGUGAGUAACACGUGAGUAACCUGCCCUUGACUUUGGGAUAACUUCAGGAAACUGGGGCUAAUACCGGAUAGGAGCUCCUGCUGCAUGGUGGGGGUUGGAAAGUUUCGGCGGUUGGGGAUGGACUCGCGGCUUAUCAGCUUGUUGGUGGGGUAGUGGCUUACCAAGGCUUUGACGGGUAGCCGGCCUGAGAGGGUGACCGGCCACAUUGGGACUGAGAUACGGCCCAGACUCCUACGGGAGGCAGCAGUGGGGAAUAUUGCACAAUGGGCGGAAGCCUGAUGCAGCAACGCCGCGUGCGAGAUGACGGCCUUCGGGUUGUAAACCGCUUUCGCCUGUGACGAAGCGUAAGUGACGGUAAUGGGUAAAGAAGCACCGGCUAACUACGUG
RNAcentral lists this ribosomal RNA (468 nucleotides) under uncultured bacterium. RNAcentral describes it as "partial 16S ribosomal RNA". It matches the Rfam family "Bacterial small subunit ribosomal RNA", at positions 28 to 507 of the family's 1533-position model. The record is from RNAcentral.